CCUACGAGAGGCUGCAGUAGGGAAUCUUCCACAAUGGACGAAAGUCUGAUGGAGCAACGCCGCGUGAGUGAAGAAGGGUUUCGGCUCGUAAAGCUCUGUUGGUAGUGAAGAAAGAUAGAGGUAGUAACUGGCCUUUAUUUGACGGUAAUUACUUAGAAAGUCACGGCUAACUACGUGCCAGCCGCCGCGGUAAUACGUAGGUGGCAAGCGUUGUCCGGAUUUAUUGGGCGUAAACCGAGUGCAGGCGGUUCAAUAAGUCUGAUGUGAAAGCCUUCGGCUCAACCGGAGAAUUGCAUCAGAAACUGUUGAACUUGAGUGCAGAAGAGGAGAGUGGAACUCCAUGUGUAGCGGUGGAAUGCGUAGAUAUAUGGAAGAACACCAGUGGCGAAGGCGGCUCUCUGGUCUGCAACUGACGCUGAGGCUCGAAAGCAUGGGUAGCGAACAGGAUUAGAUACCCUUGUAGUC
This 465-nucleotide ribosomal RNA is filed under the name uncultured bacterium. RNAcentral's name for it is "partial 16S ribosomal RNA". It matches the Rfam family "Bacterial small subunit ribosomal RNA", at positions 338 to 795 of the family's 1533-position model. The record is from RNAcentral.